RNAcentral lists this ribosomal RNA (445 nucleotides) under uncultured bacterium. Its description in RNAcentral is "partial 16S ribosomal RNA". It matches the Rfam family "Bacterial small subunit ribosomal RNA", at positions 354 to 796 of the family's 1533-position model. The record is from RNAcentral.
GUAGGGAAUAUUGGGCAAUGGAUGCAAGUCUGACCCAGCCAUCCCGCGUGCCGGAAGAAGGCCCUCAGGGUUGUAAACGGCUUUUGACGGUGAAGAAUCGACAGGAUGCGUCCUGUUUUGACGGUAGCCGUUGAAUAAGCACCGGCUAACUCCGUGCCAGCAGCCGCGGUAAUACGGAGGGUGCGAGCGUUGUCCGGAUUUAUUGGGUUUAAAGGGUGCGUAGGCUGGGAGGUCAGUCAGCGGUGAAAAGCUGUCGCUUAACGAUAGUCUUGCCGCAGAUACUUCCUUUCUUGGAUGAGGAGGAGGCCACUGGAACGGAUGGUGUAGCGGUGAAAUGCAUAGAUAUCAUCCAGAACACCGAUUGCGAAGGCAGGUGGCUGUACCUUAAUCGACGCUGAUGCACGAAAGCAUGGGGAGCAAACAGGAUUAGAUACCCGUGUAGUCC